Molecule: ribosomal RNA, 985 nt
Filed under: uncultured Bacillus sp.
Lineage: Bacteria; Bacillati; Bacillota; Bacilli; Caryophanales; Bacillaceae
Description: bacterial SSU rRNA
Rfam family: Bacterial small subunit ribosomal RNA
Source: RNAcentral
GCAGUCGAGCGGACAGAAGGGAGCUUGCUCCCGGAUGUUAGCGGCGGACGGGUGAGUAACACGUGGGUAACCUGCCUGUAAGACUGGGAUAACUCCGGGAAACCGGAGCUAAUACCGGAUAGUUCCUUGAACCGCAUGGUUCAAGGAUGAAAGACGGUUUCGGCUGUCACUUACAGAUGGACCCGCGGCGCAUUAGCUAGUUGGUGGGGUAAUGGCUCACCAAGGCGACGAUGCGUAGCCGACCUGAGAGGGUGAUCGGCCACACUGGGACUGAGACACGGCCCAGACUCCUACGGGAGGCAGCAGUAGGGAAUCUUCCGCAAUGGACGAAAGUCUGACGGAGCAACGCCGCGUGAGUGAUGAAGGUUUUCGGAUCGUAAAGCUCUGUUGUUAGGGAAGAACAAGUGCGAGAGUAACUGCUCGCACCUUGACGGUACCUAACCAGAAAGCCACGGCUAACUACGUGCCAGCAGCCGCGGUAAUACGUAGGUGGCAAGCGUUGUCCGGAAUUAUUGGGCGUAAAGGGCUCGCAGGCGGUUUCUUAAGUCUGAUGUGAAAGCCCCCGGCUCAACCGGGGAGGGUCAUUGGAAACUGGGAAACUUGAGUGCAGAAGAGGAGAGUGGAAUUCCACGUGUAGCGGUGAAAUGCGUAGAGAUGUGGAGGAACACCAGUGGCGAAGGCGACUCUCUGGUCUGUAACUGACGCUGAGGAGCGAAAGCGUGGGGAGCGAACAGGAUUAGAUACCCUGGUAGUCCACGCCGUAACGAUGAGUGCUAAGUGUUAGGGGGUUUCCGCCCCUUAGUGCUGCAGCUAACGCAUUAAGCACUCCGCCUGGGGAGUACGGUCGCAAGACUGAAACUCAGAGGAAUUGACGGGGGCCCGCACAAGCGGUGGAGCAUGUGGUUUAAUUCGAAGCAACGCGAAGAACCUUACCAGGUCUUGACAUCCUCUGACAACCCUAGAGAUAGGGCUUUCCCUUCGGGGA